GACGAACGCUGGCGGCGUGCCUAAUACAUGCAAGUCGAGCGGACUUUCAAGAAGCUUGCUUUUUGAAAGUUAGCGGCGGACGGGUGUGUAACACGUGGGCAACCUGCCUGCAAGACGGGGAUAACUCCGGGAAACCGGGGCUAAUACCGGAUAAUAUCUUCCUUCGCAUGAAGGAAGGUUGAAAGGCGGCGCAAGCUGCCGCUUGCAGAUGGGCCCGCGGCGCAUUAGCUAGUUGGUGAGGUAACGGCUCACCAAGGCGACGAUGCGUAGCCGACCUGAGAGGGUGAUCGGCCACACUGGGACUGGGACACGGCCCAGACUCCUACGGGAGGCAGCAGUAGGGAAUCUUCCGCAAUGGACGAAAGUCUGACGGAGCAACGCCGCGUGAGCGAAGAAGGUCUUCGGAUCGUAAAGCUCUGUUGUCAGGGAAGAACAAGUACCGUUCGAACAGGGCGGUACCUUGACGGUACCUGACCAGAAAGCCACGGCUAACUACGUG
Molecule: ribosomal RNA, 499 nt
Filed under: uncultured bacterium
Lineage: Bacteria
Description: partial 16S ribosomal RNA
Rfam family: Bacterial small subunit ribosomal RNA
Source: RNAcentral